This 500-nucleotide ribosomal RNA is filed under the name uncultured bacterium. RNAcentral's name for it is "partial 16S ribosomal RNA". It matches the Rfam family "Bacterial small subunit ribosomal RNA", at positions 30 to 523 of the family's 1533-position model. The record is from RNAcentral.
AUUGAACGCUGGCGGCAUGCCUUACACAUGCAAGUCGAACGGCAGCACGGGAGCAAUCCUGGUGGCGAGUGGCGAACGGGUGAGUAAAGUAUCGGAACGUGCCCAGUCGUGGGGGAUAACGUAGCGAAAGUUACGCUAAUACCGCAUACGAUCUAUGGAUGAAAGCGGGGGAUCGCAAGACCUCGCGCGAUUGGAGCGGCCGAUAUCAGGUUGGGUAGUUGGUGGGGUAAAGGCUCACCAAGCCGACGAUCUGUAGCUGGUCGGAGAGGACGAACAGCCACACUGGGACUUAGACACGGCCCAGACUCCUACGGGAGGCAGCAGUGGGGAAUUUUGGACAAGGGGCGAAAGCCUGAUCCAGCCAUGCCGCGUGCAGGAUGAAGGCCUUCGGGUUGUAAACUGCUUUUGUACGGAACGAAAAGGUUUGGCCUAAUAAGCUGAGCUCAUGACGGUACCGUAAGAAUAAGCACCGGCUAACUACGUGCCAGCCGCCGCCGUAA